Molecule: ribosomal RNA, 429 nt
Filed under: Gemmatimonadota bacterium
Lineage: Bacteria; Pseudomonadati; Gemmatimonadota
Description: Gemmatimonadetes bacterium partial 16S ribosomal RNA
Rfam family: Bacterial small subunit ribosomal RNA
Source: RNAcentral
UAGGGAAUCUUCGGCAAUGGACGAAAGUCUGACCGAGCAACGCCGCGUGAGUGAAGAAGGUUUUCGGAUCGUAAAACUCUGUUGUUAGAGAAGAACAAGGACGUUAGUAACUGUACGUCCCCUGACGGUAUCUAACCAGAAAGCCACGGCUAACUACGUGCCAGCAGCCGCGGUAAAACGUAGGUGGCAAGCGUUGUCCGGAUUUAUUGGGCGUAAGGCGAGCGCAGGCGGUUUCUUAAGUCUGAUGUGAAAGCCCCCGGCUCAACCGGGGAGGGUCAUUGGAAACUGGGAGGCUUGAGUGCAGAAGAGGAGAGUGGAAUUCCAUGUGUAGCGGUGAAAUGCGUAGAUAUAUGGAAGAACACCAGUGGCGAAGGCGACUCGCUGGUCUGUAACUGACGCUGAGGCGCGAAAGCGUGGGGAGCAAACAGG